UCCUGGUUAGCUCAGUUGGUAGAACGCUCUAUGAGAAAUAGAGAGACCCCUGGUUCGAUACCCGGACCAGGCG
This 73-nucleotide transfer RNA is filed under the name Ixodes scapularis (black-legged tick). RNAcentral describes it as "tRNA-Ser". Lineage: Eukaryota; Metazoa; Arthropoda; Arachnida; Ixodida; Ixodidae. The record is from RNAcentral.